Molecule: non-coding RNA, 2229 nt
Organism: Ictidomys tridecemlineatus (thirteen-lined ground squirrel)
Lineage: Eukaryota; Metazoa; Chordata; Mammalia; Rodentia; Sciuridae
Source: RefSeq, a predicted model, not a curated record
CAGGCCCUCGCCAGUUGCAGACUUUCUUCUUAAAACUGCCAUCUGGGAAGCCCACGCCAGGCCUAUGAGACUACUGUGGAUCCCAUGGGAUCUGGAGCCCUCCUCUGCCCUCAGCCCUGCCCAGGAAAGCUACCAAGGACGGGGCUGUGCUUGUCUUGUUUGCUGUUGAAAGAGUGGUAUGAUGCUGGGCCAGUGGAGGGUGCAGCGGCCACACUGGGCAUGUUGGGAGCUCUGCUGUGCUCUGAGGGCUCGAGCAGCAGGCCUGGCCACGGCUGGCAGAAGGGCAGAGCAUGCGUGGAGACAGGGAGCACCUCACUGGCCUGCAGCCUUUGCCAAGGCUACUAGUGCUGGCAGCUGCUGGGCUGGGGGGGUUCCCUGAAACGGCCCGCCAAGUGUGCACGUGUGUUUUCCUGGGGAUAACUCAGAAAGAAGGGGGGCCUGUAUCAGUCAACUUCAGAUCCCCAGGGCUGGUGGGGGCACCUGGAGAGUGUGUGUCAACAGAAAGAGAAAGUGUGUGUCUGCAGUGAGGCACCGGGACCUGGGUCAGGCGAGACAGCCUCAGGCCUGGCCUGGGAUCCCAGAGCACAGCCCCUCCCCACACACUCGGCAGGGUGGGGUGCUGACUGACUCUCAUUCAUGGCCGAUUUGAGGAUCUGCUCCCCCUGCAGGGUCUCCGAGGCAUCGCCUCCGCGGAAGAGUCCACGCGACUGGGCUGUGUCCUCAAGUCCGCUCAUCUCUGCCAUCUCCAGGUAGAUCUGCUGCUUCUCCAGGAGGCUCUGGGCGAUCAGCUGGUCUUUCUGACUUAGUCGUUCUGUGGAGGGACAUGGAGGAGGUGGUCAGCUGGGUCGGCCUCCCCUGGAUUCUGUGCCCUCGGAUCUGGGGCCAAGCAGGAGGACAGAGCCCACCUGGAGGUGCUUCCCUGCGGGAUAAACUCGAGUUACCACCCAGCAGAAAAUAGCAGUUAGCAGGAGACGAAAUUAAUGCAGAUGGUCCUCCACUCACAAUGGUUCAACUUGUAGUAGUUUGAUUUAAUAAUGAUGCGAAAGUGCUAUGUGUUCGUGGAAAUGUGUCUGAGCUUUGAUUUCUCGUGCUUUCCUGGGCUAGUCUCUUGUGAGCUGAGCAGGGGCAGUGGCCGUGAGCAGCAGCUCCUGGGCACAAGAGGAAACAACUAAGACGUGACAGUGGCCCUGUGGCCGGGCUGCGAUGUUUGGCAGCUUGAGUGUAAGCACAACGUUACUGGGAUGGGACCCCAGCGUAAGCCGAGGAGAUCUGCACUACGUUAGGUGUCAGGCCUCCUAGGGUUCAACAGGAUUCUUUCCGUCUUUCUUCUGGACAUUAAUUAAUGCUCUCAAAUUUAUUAAAAUACAUAAAGUCCUUAAAGCACCUCUCCCCACAAAAGAAAUAAAAUAUAGACUAUUAAAUUACAUGUACUUAUCGCCUAACUACCACUUAAUCAAAGAAAUAAAUAACACAGUGAGUGGGAAGGAGGAAGGGACUUGUCGAGCCCACGGGCACUAGGAGCUGCUCAGGCAGUCACCACAUCCACCUCUCACAGAAUCUGCCGCACAGGAAGGAGGACACACCAACACCGUGUGCUCCAUCCACCCUGGAGCACCCCUCCGCCACUAACAAGGAGUGAGAUUUUGACAUGUCAUGAUGUGGAUGGGGCUUGAAGACACUGUGCCUGGUGAGGGAAGCCAGGUGCGCAAGGACCUGGCUCCACUGACCCGAGAUGCCCAGAAUGGGCGUGUCCACAAAUGGGAUGGGGACUGGUGGUGGCCAGGGGCUGAAGUGACUGCUAAGGGGUGUUUUGUUUUCAGGGUGAAGAAAAUGCUCCAAAACUGAUUGCUGACCUCUGCGUGCUAGCACCUCCUUCCUGAAUGCAGACAGGCCACCCAGAGCCAACCAGUCCACCCAGCCCAUUGGGCACUGGUGAGAGAGAAUGCUGUAGCAGACCAGUAAAAGCACCUCUCAACUGUGCCAUGAGCUCACUGCGUCCCCAGACCUGCUGAAGUCCUAAAGUCUAGGACAUGACAGAACGUGGCAGUAUUUGGAGACAGAGAUUUAUCAAGUACUGUGGAUCCCACUUCAACAUGACUGUGUCUUCAGGAGAAGAGAUGAAGACACAGACAUAUAUAGAGGGAUGACCCUGUGAGAACAAGGGAAAAGACAGCAUGUACUGCCAAGGAGAGAGUUUCAGAAGGAAGCAAUCCUGUGCACACCCUCAUC